RNAcentral lists this ribosomal RNA (253 nucleotides) under uncultured bacterium. RNAcentral describes it as "partial 16S ribosomal RNA". It matches the Rfam family "Bacterial small subunit ribosomal RNA", at positions 524 to 776 of the family's 1533-position model. The record is from RNAcentral.
GACAGAGGUGCCAAGCGUUAGGCGGAAUCACUGGGCUUAAAGCGUGUGUAGGCGGGUGCCUAAGUACCUUGUGAAAUCCCACGGCUCAACCGUGGAACUGCUGGGUAUACUGGGUGCCUUGGGUCAUCUAGGGGCUGCCGGAACAAAUGGUGGAGCGGUGAAAUGCGUUGAUAUCAUCAGGAACACCGGAGGCGAAGGCGGCUCACUGGGGCUUUUCUGACGCUGAGGAACGAAAGCCAGGGUAGCGAACGGG